GGGAGGGUAGCUCAGUGGACAGAGCAGCGGUGCGCACCCAUAAUGGCCAAGAAGCAGCAGGUCGCAGGUUCGAAUCCUGCCCUUCCCA
RNAcentral lists this transfer RNA (88 nucleotides) under Muribaculaceae bacterium. Its description in RNAcentral is "tRNA-OTHER". It matches the Rfam family "tRNA". From Rfam's summary of the family: Transfer RNA (tRNA) molecules are approximately 80 nucleotides in length. Their secondary structure includes four short double-helical elements and three loops (D, anti-codon, and T loops). Lineage: Bacteria; Pseudomonadati; Bacteroidota; Bacteroidia; Bacteroidales; Muribaculaceae. The record is from RNAcentral.